GAUGAACGCUAGCUACAGGCUUAACACAUGCAAGUCGAGGGGAAACGACAUCGAAAGCUUGCUUUUGAUGGGCGUCGACCGGCGCACGGGUGAGUAACGCGUAUCCAACCUGCCCACCACUUGGGGAUAACCUUGCGAAAGUAAGACUAAUACCCAAUGAUAUCUCUAGAAGACAUCUGAAAGAGAUUAAAGAUUUAUCGGUGAUGGAUGGGGAUGCGUCUGAUUAGCUUGUUGGCGGGGUAACGGCCCACCAAGGCAACGAUCAGUAGGGGUUCUGAGAGGAAGGUCCCCCACAUUGGAACUGAGACACGGUCCAAACUCCUACGGGAGGCAGCAGUGAGGAAUAUUGGUCAAUGGACGAGAGUCUGAACCAGCCAAGUAGCGUGCAGGAAGACGGCCCUAUGGGUUGUAAACUGCUUUUAUAAGGGAAUAAAGUGAGUCUCGUGAGACUUUUUGCAUGGACCUUAUGAAUAAGGACCGGCGAAUUCCGU
RNAcentral lists this ribosomal RNA (491 nucleotides) under uncultured bacterium. RNAcentral describes it as "partial 16S ribosomal RNA". It matches the Rfam family "Bacterial small subunit ribosomal RNA", at positions 28 to 506 of the family's 1533-position model. The record is from RNAcentral.